CCUACGGGUGGCAGCAGUGAGGAAUAUUGGUCCAUGGUCGGGAGACUGAACCAGCCAAGCCGCGUGAGGGAGGAAGGUACAGAGUAUCGUCAACCUCUUUUGUCAGGGAACAAAGGCGGGGACGUGUCCCCGGCUGAGUGUACCUGAAGAAAAAGCCUCGGCUAACUCCGUGCCAGCAGCCGCGGUAAUACGGGGGAUGCGAGCGUUAUCCGGCUUUAUUGGGUUUAAAGGGUGCGCAGGCGGUCUGUUAAGUCAGCGGUCAAAGCCCGGGGCUCAACCCCGGCCCGCCGUUGAAACUGGCAGUCUAGAGUUGGAGAGAAGUAUGCGGAAUGCGCGGUGUAGCGGUGAAAUGCAUAGACAGCGCGCAGAACUCCGAUUGCGAAGGCAGCAUGCCGGCUCCACACUGACGCUGAGGCACGAAAGCGUGGGUAUCGAACAGGAUUAGAUACCCUGGUAGUC
Molecule: ribosomal RNA, 459 nt
Filed under: uncultured bacterium
Lineage: Bacteria
Description: partial 16S ribosomal RNA
Rfam family: Bacterial small subunit ribosomal RNA
Source: RNAcentral